AUUAAACGCUGGCGGCAUGCCUUACACAUGCAAGUCGAACGGCAGCACGGGGGCAACCCUGGUGGCGAGUGGCGAACGGGUGAGUAAAGCAUCGGAACGUGCCCUGGAGUGGGGGAUAACGUAGCGAAAGUUACGCUAAUACCGCAUAUUCUGUGAGCAGGAAAGCAGGGGAUCGCAAGACCUUGCGCUCUGGGAGCGGCCGAUGUCGGAUUAGCUAGUUGGUGGGGUAAAGGCCUACCAAGGCGACGAUCCGUAGCGGGUCUGAGAGGAUGAUCCGCCACACUUGGGACUGAGACACGGCCCAGACUCCUAUGGGAGGCAGCAGUGGGGAAUUUUGGGACAAUGGGCGAAAGCCUGAUCCAGCCAUGCCGCGUGAGUGAAGAAGGCC
RNAcentral lists this ribosomal RNA (388 nucleotides) under uncultured bacterium. RNAcentral's name for it is "bacterial SSU rRNA". It matches the Rfam family "Bacterial small subunit ribosomal RNA", at positions 29 to 416 of the family's 1533-position model. The record is from RNAcentral.